Cygnus olor (mute swan) is the source of this 609-nucleotide non-coding RNA. Lineage: Eukaryota; Metazoa; Chordata; Aves; Anseriformes; Anatidae. The record is from the annotation of a RefSeq genome assembly.
CAGCUGGGCCUUUUUAUGUUCACCCAGCGAUCGUUGGGCGGUGACUCUGCUCCUCCAGGUUGCCCAGGGCUGCAGGCGGCCGAGACGUUGGACGAGUCCGGAGGGGGCCUCGUGAAGCCUGGGGGGUCCCUGACCCUGGUCUGCAAGGGCUCCGGAUACACCUUCAGCAGCUUCGGCAUGGGAUGGGCACGACAGGCCCCCGGGAAGGGGCUCGAGUACGUCGCGGGUACUACCAGUGAUGGUAGUUGGACAGGCUACGCGCCGGCGGUGGAGGGACGCUUCACCAUCUCCAGGGACAACGGGCAGAGCACGCUCACCCUGCAGAUGAACAGCCCCAAGGCCGAAGACACCGCCACCUACUACUGCGCGAAAACUGCUGAUGGUGGUGCUGGUGCAAUCAUUGCUGGUGCUGCUGGUGCUGGUGCUGGUGGUGAUGUUGGUUGUGGUGCUGGUCAUGAUGAUGGUGUUGGUGAUGGUUUUUGUGUUGUUCGUCAUGGUCUUGGUGAUGUUAAUAUAGUCAGGCAUCAACACCACCAGCACCAUCACUGCUCCAACCGCUACCAGCAUACUCCCUCACGCAGUAGUAGGUGGUGGUGUCGUUGGCCUUGA